CCUACGGGAGGCAGCAGUGAGGAAUAUUGGGCAAUGGACGAGAGUCUGAACCAGCCAAGUAGCGUGAAGGAUGACUGCUCUAUGGGUUGUAAACUUCUUUUAUAAAGGAAUAAAACGAGGCACGUGUGCAUUUUUGCAUGUACUUUAUGAAUAAGGAUCGGCUAACUCCGUGCCAGCAGCCGCGGUAAUACGGAGGAUGCGAGCGUUAUCCGGUUUUAUUGGGUUUAAAGGGAGCGUAGAUGGGUUGUUAAGUCAGUUGUGAAAGUUUGCGGCUCAACCGUAAAAUUGCAAUUGAUACUGGCAGUCUUGAGUACAGUAGAGGUAAGCGGAAUUCGUGGUGUAGCGGUGAAAUGCUUAGAUAUCACGAAGAACCCCGAUUGCGAAGGCAGCUUACUAAGCUGUGACUGACAUUGAUGCUCGAAAGUGUGGGUAUCAAACAGGAUUAGAUACCCCUGUAGUC
This 460-nucleotide ribosomal RNA is filed under the name uncultured bacterium. Its description in RNAcentral is "partial 16S ribosomal RNA". It matches the Rfam family "Bacterial small subunit ribosomal RNA", at positions 338 to 795 of the family's 1533-position model. The record is from RNAcentral.